GGCCUUCUGUAUCCGUGCUGAGAUUUCGUCACACCAGACCGCAAAGGUUGAUGAAACUCCCAAGUGAAGCA
This is a non-coding RNA of Schistosoma mattheei, 71 nucleotides long. The record is from Rfam. NCBI's taxonomy places the organism in Eukaryota, Metazoa, Platyhelminthes, Trematoda, Strigeidida, Schistosomatidae.